GCGGCUACUGCUAUCAGGUUUCGACUAAGCCAUGCGAGUCAAGGGGUCGUAAGACACCGGCGUACUGCUCAGUAACACGCGGACAAUCUACCCCCAGGUGGAGGAUAACCUCGGGAAACUGAGGCUAAUACCCCAUAGUUGUCAUGUGCUGGAAUGCUUUGACGAUGAAAGAAUUUCGCCUGAGGAUGAGUCUGCGGCCUAUCAGGUAGUAUGUGGUGUAAAGGACCACAUAGCCUAAGACGGGUACGGGCCUUGAAAGAGGGAGCCCGGAGAUGGACUCUGAGACACUAGUCCAGGCCCUACGGGGCGCAGCAGGCGCGAAAACUGUGCAAUGCGCGCAAGCGCGACACGGGAAGCCUGAGUGCCUUAACUAUGUUAAGGCUUUUCUUGAUCCUAAAAAGCUCAAGGAAUAAGAGCUGGGUAAGACGGGUGCCAGCCGCCGCGGUAACACCCGCGGCUCGACUGGUAAUCACUUUUAUUGAGCCUAAAGCGUUUGUAGCCGGAUUUGUAAAUCUCUAGGAAAAUACUUCUGCUUAACUGAAGAAAUUUUGGAGAGACUGCAAAUCUAGGGACCGGGUGAGGUUGAAUGUACUUCUGGGGUAGGGGUAAAAUCCUGUAAUCCUGGAAGGACGACCGGUGGCGAAGGCGUUCAACUAGAACGGAUCCGACGGUGAGGAACGAAGGCUAGGGGAGCAAACCGGAUUAGAUACCCGGGUAGUCCUAGCUGUAAACACUGCCCACUUGGUGUUGCAUCUCCGGUAAGGGGGUGCAGUGCCGUAGCGAAGGUGUUAAGUGGGCCGCUUGGGGAGUAUGGUCGCAAGGCUGAAACUUAA
This 833-nucleotide ribosomal RNA is filed under the name archaeon enrichment culture. Its description in RNAcentral is "bacterial SSU rRNA". It matches the Rfam family "Archaeal small subunit ribosomal RNA", at positions 20 to 859 of the family's 1478-position model. The record is from RNAcentral.